UACGUAGGGGGCUAGCGUUGUUCGGAAUUACUGGGCGUAAAGGGCGUGUAGGCGGCCCGUUAAGACAGGUGUGAAAUUCCUGGGCUCAACCCAGGACGUGCGCCUGUGACUGGCGGGCUUGAGUCCGGGAGAGGAUGGUGGAACUCCCAGUGUAGAGGUGAAAUUCGUAGAUAUUGGGAAGAACACCCGUGGCGAAGGCGGCCAUCUGGACCGGUACUGACGCUAAGGCGCGACAGCGUGGGGAGCAAACAGG
This 253-nucleotide ribosomal RNA is filed under the name uncultured bacterium. RNAcentral's name for it is "partial 16S ribosomal RNA". It matches the Rfam family "Bacterial small subunit ribosomal RNA", at positions 524 to 776 of the family's 1533-position model. The record is from RNAcentral.